RNAcentral lists this ribosomal RNA (2085 nucleotides) under terrestrial metagenome. RNAcentral's name for it is "bacterial LSU rRNA". It matches the Rfam family "Bacterial large subunit ribosomal RNA", at positions 3 to 2009 of the family's 2925-position model. The record is from RNAcentral.
UCAAGUUGAAAAGGGUAUACGGCGGAUGCCUUGGUACCAGCAGGCGAUGAAGGACGUGGUUAACUGCGAUAAGCCUCGGGAAGCCGUAAGCAGGCUUUGAUCCGGGGAUCUCCGAAUGGGGGAACCCACCCGAGUAAACCUCGGGUAUCCUGAUCUCAAUACAUAGGAUCAGGCGGCCAGACGGGGGGAACUGAAACAUCUAAUUACCCCCAGGAAAAGAAAGUAAGAACGAUUCCCUAAGUAGCGGCGAGCGAACGGGGAUGAGCCCAAACGUACGAGGUGUGAUAACCGGCAGGUGUUGCCUCAUGCGGGUUGCGGGGCCUGACAGAUCUGCACUGCCGUGCAGGUAAGAAGUUACAAAAUCAAUCAUUAGCCAAAGUGAGCUUGGAAAACUCCACCACAGAGGGUGAUAGUCCCGUAAGCGAAAGUGAUCGAUCUUCUUUGUCAGGUUCCCAAGUAGCACGGGAUAAGAGAAGCCCUGUGUGAAGCCGGGAGGACCACCUCCCAAGGCUAAAUACUAGCUGGUGACCGAUAGUGAACUAGUACCGUGAGGGAAAGGUGAAAAGAACCCCGGGAGGGGAGUGAAAUAGUACCUGAAACCGUAUACCUACAAGCAGUGGAAGCACCAUUGAGAACAGCUUGCUGUUAACAGGUGUGACCGCGUGCUUUUUGUAUAAUGAGCCGGCGAGUUACGUUAGCCAGCCAGGUUAAGCAGCGUCUGCUGCGAAGCCGCAGCGAAAGCGAGUCUGAAUAGGGCGAUUUAGUUGGUUGACGUAGACCCGAAACCGGGUGAUCUAUCCAUGGCCAGGGUGAAGCCUGUUUGAACGCAGGUGGAGGCCCGAACCCACUAAUGUUGAAAAAUUAGGGGAUGAGCUGUGGAUAGGGGUGAAAGGCCAAUCAAACCCGGAGAUAGCUGGUUCUCCUCGAAAUAGCUUUAGGGCUAGCCUCAAACGUUGGCCUAUGGAGGUAGAGCACUGAAUGGACUAGGGGCCUUACCAGGUUACUGAAUCCAAUCAAACUCCGAAUGCCAUAGGUGCUAGUUUGGGAGUCAGACUGCGGGGGAUAAGCUUCGUAGUCGAAAGGGAAACAGCCCAGACCAUCAGCUAAGGUCCCCAAGUACAGGCUAAGUGGAAAAGGAAGUUGAAUUACAAAGACAGCCAGGAUGUUGGCUCAGAGGCAGCCAUCAUUUAAAAAGUGCGUAACAGCUUACUGGUUAAGCGAUUCUGCACCGAAAAAUGUCCGGGGCUAAGUCUGUCACCGAAGCUGUGGAUCCUACGGGAUGGUAGAGGAGCGUUCUCUACAGGCAGAAGGGUUACCGUAAGGAGGCCUGGACCGUAGAGAAGUGAGAAUGCCGGCAUGAGUAACGAUAAGGCAAGUGAGAAUCUUGCCCGCCGAAAACCUAAGGUUUCCUGGGGAAGGUAAGUCCGCCCAGGGUUAGUCGGGCCUAAGCCCAGGCCGAAAGGCGUAAGCGAUGGACAACCGGUCAAUAUUCCGGUACUACCGUAUGAUCGCUUUAAAGUGAUGGGGUGACACAGCAGGGUAGGUCAGCACGAUAAAAGUUCCGUGUCCAAGCCCUUAGAGGGAAAAGACAGGCAAAUCCGUCUUUUCGUUAACCUCAAGAGGUGAUAGGGAGCUGCUACGGCGGCGAACUGAUUGAUCCCACACUGUCGAGAAAAACCUCUAGCCAGAGCAUACGGUAUCCGUACUAAAACCGACACAGGUAGGUAGGUAGAGAAUACCAAGGCGCUCGAGAGAACCCUCGUUAAGGAACUCGGCAAAAUGACUCCGUAACUUCGGGAGAAGGAGUGCCUCAUUAGGGUGAGUUGUUUUACAUAACAAGCCCGAAGAGGUUGCAAUAAAACGGCCCAAGCGACUGUUUACUAAAAACACAGGUCUCUGCUAAAUCGCAAGAUGAUGUAUAGGGACUGACGCCUGCCCGGUGCUGGAAGGUUAAGGAAGGGAGUUAAUCUUCGGAUGAAGCCCCUAACCAAAGCCCCAGUAAACGGCGGCCGUAACUAUAACGGUCCUAAGGUAGCGAAAUUCCUUGUCGGGUAAGUUCCGACCCGCACGAAUGGCGUAACGAUU